This 520-nucleotide long non-coding RNA is filed under the name Homo sapiens (human). RNAcentral describes it as "long intergenic non-protein coding RNA 2478". The record is from RNAcentral. Lineage: Eukaryota; Metazoa; Chordata; Mammalia; Primates; Hominidae.
UGGUACUUGAUGGCUGUUUCAGAGAAGGAAACAACAUUCCUCUGAUGCUAACUGGUGCUUCUGAGAGCAAAAUGUCAGGGAGGAGAGAAGCAUGGCCUCUCGAGACAAACCCAGGCUGCUAAGAAUGUAAGCUCUGGUCUCACUUUGCGUUCCAGCCAAACACCUAAGUGCUCCUUUCUAUGACCAAAGAAUUCUUCACUGAUUAAAAUCUGGUUACAAAACAAGGGACCUAGAGAGAUGUUCACUUCACCACUUCUCUACAGAUGCCUCCUGCUGCUUCCAACUUUUCUCCUUUAAGGCAGGGUGAAUCCAAAUCAUGGUCUUAGCCCUGAAGGAGGCACCAAAGCAGUUUCGUUGCCCUGUGAAAAGCUUCUAGAGGAGCUCAUCUGAAUGCUUGAAGAAACCAGCCGCCCUUGCAAUUACCUAAAAGGAAUUGAGUCAUUUUAACAAGACAUUAUUUCUGCCAUCCACGGUCACAAUCAUCUCUUUGAAAAAUAAAUACUCUUGGUUUGUUGUUUUU